Long non-coding RNA from Solanum lycopersicum (tomato), 1787 nucleotides. RefSeq lists it as uncharacterized. Lineage: Eukaryota; Viridiplantae; Streptophyta; Magnoliopsida; Solanales; Solanaceae. The record is from RefSeq and is a predicted model, not a curated record.
GUAUUAGGGUUUCCUAAUUGAGCUCUUUCAUUUUCUCCACAAUGUCGUCGCAGGGAGCUCUCUUCAACUCCACUUUCCUUUUCCUUAUGAUGUAGGUUAUCAACACCUUCAUUUGGACCGUAAUCAUUAUCAUUUUUGUCAGCUCAUUGAGGUACGUCUCCAUUAAAUUUUAGCUAACAUUCCCUUCGCGAUUUGUCUGCUGACCUUUUUUUUAGGAAUUCAAUAUUGUGGAUGUAGUGGUUACUUUGGUGGUGUUGAUAGAAGUGCCUUGUCUGGUAUUUGAGCUUGCAAAUCCCUAUAGGUGACAUUUUUCUCCCGUGUCCUCUUUGGAUACUUUUAUCGCUUUCUAACUUGUUUUCUAGAUGAAGAGACAAUGCAUAUACCAAGAUGAUAAUUCUCUUCUUUGUAGAGUUCAUCCUCAUCUGUCAUGCUAUAAUGCCUGGAACUGUCAAAAUGGGGUUGGCCUAUUAAGUUAGCCCAAUCCAACCCUUGAAUUAAGUAUGGUUGGGCAUAACUUUUUUGACCUAUUUAGGUUUUUGAUCCAACUUCAUUUGCAUCGCUAACCUUAUGGGCCCAACGCACAAGGCAGGCAUGCCAAUCUUUUGACUUCUUUCUUAACCUUUUGGGGUAUUUUGUUGUUGCAGUGCUAUGUUUUUGUUUCUUUUGUUUCAUGUGUUUAUUGCACCUUUUUGAUUUUCGAUCGCAAUUUUCUAAUUUUUUUAAAGGAUGGUUUAGACUUGGAUUUGUUGAAAAUAUUUGGAAUCUAUAGAGUUUCGUCAAUAGGUUUCAUUUGAGAUUUCCUCUUCUGGAAUUGAUCUUGCCCCAUUUUUUUCUUGAUUUUGCUUUGCGAUUGAUUCUCGAUCUCAAUUUUCAAAAAAUUCUUGAGGAUGCUUUAGUGUUGGAUUUUUUUUGAAAAUAUUUGGGAUCUAGAGAGUUUCGUCUAAAGGUUCCAUUUGAGAUUUCCUAUUCUGGAGUAGAUCUAGCCCCAUUUUUUUUCUUGAUUUUGCUUCACACUUCAUUUCUCUAUUCACAUUUUCCUUGCAACUCUUAACCUUUUUUGGGGUAUUUUUUUGUUGCAGUUCUAUUUGUUUGUUUCUUCUAAUUGUUAUGUUUAUUUCCCCACAUUGAUUCCUGAUCUCAUUUUCAAUCUCUUCUUUAGGUUGCUUUAGAAUGGAUUUGUUAAAAACAUUUGGGAAUGGAGAGUUUCAUUUAGAGGUUCUAUUUUAGAUUUCCUAUUCUGAAGCCAAUCUAAAAUCUUUCUAUUUUUUUUCUUGAUACUGGUUAGCAAUUAAGUCCUCUAUUCUCAUUUUUCCGUGCCAUCUAUGAUUCAUUUCCGAUGAUGUUCUCUAUGGGAUGCUUGGUUAGCAAUUAAUUCCUCUACUCAGAUUUUCCCCUAGCUGCUUUGAUUCUUUGCUAAUGUUGUUCUCUCUAUAAUUUUUGGUUAGUUUCUAUCCAAGUACUCUUCAUGCUUAAUGUGGUAAUUGUAUUUUUCAUUCUCUUGUCGCAUCAAAUGUGUGUUUUGGAAACUCAAAUGUGUAAGCAUUCCGGGAGAAGCAAACAGGUGUACAAUUCUUUUGUGUGAACAGGGCAUUAGUUCGAUAUCGGGGGCAUUGAAGAGUUGUCUGGGACAUGGGAGUUUUCAAGGAUCGUCUAGUCAAGCCUACUCGUCUCGAAUUCAUUGUCUUUUCUAUUUCACUUUUGGGUUUGUAAUAACUUAUGAACUACAUUUCUUGUAAUAUUAAGAAUAAGUGCUUCUCUUAUUUGGGUUGGGGAAACAUUAUGUGCUA